GCUCAGCAGGCGAGAAAACUUCACACUGUGCGAAAGCACGAUGAGGGAAUCCCAAGUGCUUGCACGUAAGUGUAAGCUGUUUCUCUGUCUAAAACGCAGAGAGAGUAAGGGCUGGGUAAGACGGGUGCCAGCCGCCGCGGUAAUACCUGCAGCUCAAGUGGUGACCGUUAUUAUUGGGCCUAAAACGUCCGUAGCCGGUUUAAUAAAUGCCUGGGUAAAUUGUGUAGCUUAACUAUACGAAUUCCGGGUAGACUGUUAAACUUGAGACCGGGAGAAGUUAGAGGUACUCCUGGGGUAGAGGUGAAAUUCUGUAAUCCUAGGGGGACCACCAGUGGCGAAGGCGUCUAACUAGAACGGGUCUGACGGUGAGGGACGAAGCCCUGGGGCGCAAACGGGAUUAGAUACCCCGUAGU
RNAcentral lists this ribosomal RNA (413 nucleotides) under uncultured microorganism. Its description in RNAcentral is "bacterial SSU rRNA". It matches the Rfam family "Archaeal small subunit ribosomal RNA", at positions 330 to 745 of the family's 1478-position model. The record is from RNAcentral.